Molecule: transfer RNA, 74 nt
Filed under: Candidatus Freyarchaeota archaeon
Lineage: Archaea; Promethearchaeati; Candidatus Freyarchaeota
Description: tRNA-His
Rfam family: tRNA
About the family: Transfer RNA (tRNA) molecules are approximately 80 nucleotides in length. Their secondary structure includes four short double-helical elements and three loops (D, anti-codon, and T loops).
Source: RNAcentral
GUGCCGGUAGCUCAGCUUGGGAGAGCGCAGGACUGUGGAUCCUGAGGUCGCGGGUUCGACUCCCGCCCGGCACC